UCCAUACUGCUGGUUUUGUGUCUCCUAGC
This 29-nucleotide non-coding RNA is filed under the name Mus musculus (house mouse). Lineage: Eukaryota; Metazoa; Chordata; Mammalia; Rodentia; Muridae. The record is from RNAcentral.